Molecule: ribosomal RNA, 253 nt
Filed under: uncultured bacterium
Lineage: Bacteria
Description: partial 16S ribosomal RNA
Rfam family: Bacterial small subunit ribosomal RNA
Source: RNAcentral
UACAGAGGGUGCGAGCGUUGUCCGGAAUCACUGGGCGUAAAGGGCGCGUAGGUGGCGCGACAAGUCAGUGGUGAAAGUUCGACGCUCAACGUCGAAUCGGCCACUGAUACUGUUGGGCUUGAGCACUGUAGAGGCUAAUGGAAUUCCGGGUGUAGCGGUGGAAUGCGUAGAGAUCCGGAAGAACACCGGUGGCGAAGGCGGUUAGCUGGGCAGUUGCUGACACUGAGGCGCGACAGCGUGGGGAGCGAACAGG